GACGAACGCUGGCGGCGUGCUUAACACAUGCAAGUCGAACGGAAAGGCCCUGCUUUUGUGGGGUGCUCGAGUGGCGAACGGGUGAGUAACACGUGAGUAACCUGCCCUUGACUGUGGGAUAAAUUAAGGAAACUGGGGCUAAUACCGGAUAGGAGCUCCUGAUGCAUGGUGGGGGUUGGAAAGUUUCGGCGGUUGGGGAUGGACUCGCGGCGGAUCAGCUUGUUGGUGGGGUAGUGGCUUACCAAGGCUUUGACGGGUAGCCGGCCUGAGAGGGUGACCGGCCACAUUGGGACUGAGAUACGUCCCAGACUCCUACGGGAGGCAGCAGUGGGGAAUAUUGCACAAUGGGCGGAAGCCUGAUGCAGCAACGCCGCGUGCGGGAUGACGGCCUUCGGGUUGUAAACCGCUUUCGCCUGUGACGAAGCGUGAGUGACGGUAAUGGGUAAAUAAGCACCGGCUAACUACGUG
RNAcentral lists this ribosomal RNA (468 nucleotides) under uncultured bacterium. RNAcentral's name for it is "partial 16S ribosomal RNA". It matches the Rfam family "Bacterial small subunit ribosomal RNA", at positions 28 to 507 of the family's 1533-position model. The record is from RNAcentral.